CCUACGGGAGGCAGCAGUGGGGAAUCUUGCGCAAUGGGCGAAAGCCUGACGCAGCCAUGCCGCGUGAAUGAUGAAGGUCUUAGGAUUGUAAAAUUCUUUCAGCAGGGACGAUAAUGACGGUACCUGCAGAAGAAGCCCCGGCUAACUUCGUGCCAGCAGCCGCGGUAAUACGAAGGGGGCUAGCGUUGCUCGGAAUUACUGGGCGUAAAGGGAGCGUAGGCGGGUUAUCAAGUUGGAGGUGAAAGCCCAGGGCUCAACCUUGGAAUUGCCUUCAAAACUGAUAGCCUAGAGUAUGAUAGAGGUAUGUGGAACUCCGAGUGUAGAGGUGAAAUUCGUAGAUAUUCGGAAGAACACCAGUGGCGAAGGCGACAUACUGGGUCAUGACUGACGCUGAGGCUCGAAAGCGUGGGGAGCAAACAGGAUUAGAUACCCUGGUAGUCCACGCUGUAAACGAUGAUUGNUAGUUGUUGGUCGACGCAUGCGUGGUCGGUGGACGCGAGCGUAACGACAUUAAGUACAACUACCGCCGUCGGGGAGGUACGGUCGGCGAACGAAGUUAAAACGUUAAAAGUUAAGUAAGUUAGUACGGACGUGAGACGUGACCGACGGACGACGACGAGGGAGGAGGG
This 629-nucleotide ribosomal RNA is filed under the name uncultured bacterium. RNAcentral describes it as "bacterial SSU rRNA". The stretch from base 1 to 528 matches the Rfam family "Bacterial small subunit ribosomal RNA", at positions 338 to 873 of the family's 1533-position model. The record is from RNAcentral.